UACAAAUACACGUUUAGAGCACAAACCCUCUAAGAUCUAUCAAAGAAAAUGCAUUUACACACAAAUACACACACAAAGAGGUAUAAAGUAUAUUAUAGGCUAAUAUAAAUAGUGUCAAGUAACAAAUUAAAAGCCAUAUUUACUGAAUAAAAAUGUUAUUACCAAAUGUGUUUGACUUUUAUUUUCAGUGGGGCACAAAAGUAGAUGCAAAACAGAACUUUAAGAGACUGACAGCUUCAGUCAUGGUUCACUAUCAUUACUUUUCUAAAAAAAAAAAAAAAAAAAAAAAAAAAUUCUUACCCUUGUAUAAAAGAGAGAGGCACAUUUUCAUUUGCAAUUAAAACUUGAGUUCUUUGUAAUAUCAGGGAUGUGAACUAUUCAGGUCAGGUUUGAAAAAGGUGACAAUGUAACCCACAAUAGACAGACAAAUAACUAAGACAAUAAAGUUAAUUUUUAGUUGCUUUUUUAUACAUUUACCAUCACUCCAUUAUUACAUUUCUCUCAAGUUUGGGGGUAUUAUCUUUUGUAUAUUUUAAUAUAAAAUGGCAACAUUUGAUGUAAAAUAUGUAUUCCUUAUCUUUUUAUUAUGUAAAUAACAUGUAAAAUAUGCCUUGUGCUAUUUAGCAUGUGCUAUUUAACUAAUGCACUUUUAAAAACUCUUUGGAUCUACACAAAUCAUGCAAAUGAUUUUUGGAUUCAAAAUGACUAUUUUUACUUAAAGGUGAUAAGUUUGCAUCCCCUGAAUAUUCAGUUGUUAAUGUCCUUUUGUUAUAUUUGCAUACAGUACAUCUAUAGUACAUUCGAGACACUUUGUAUAUUAUUGUAACAAAAUUGAGCACCUGUGACAGUGGAAUUUGUAUUUGUAGAGAAUAUUUCAAUAAAGUCAUCAAGAAAAUGUUUUUGGAGUUGCAAGCUUGUAUUUUGUUUCUUUCUCUCUAACAAACACAACAAAACCUUCUCAAAAAUCUUCAUUGCAGGUGCAUAAAUCCUAUUCUACAAAUCACAAAUUAAGAAAUUCACAGGCUCAGUUAUACCAGAUUUAUGCAGGACUGUAUUUCAUUUUGGUCAUAUUAUUGAAUUAUUUUUUCCUGAAAUGUGUGUUUAUUAGAACUGGACAUAUUUACAGACUUUAUGAGAAUAGUAGUAUUUGUAGAUAAGAUCAUGGUAGAAUGACUUGCCUUUCUCAGUUCGAGCAUCUGAGUCUUCAGCCAUUUUCCAAAAACAUUAAAGACACCUCUUUUUCCAUCAGCACCUGAUCAAUUAAUACUAGCACUUACCUUUUCUAUUCAGUUCAAUCCUAUUUUAUUCAGUUUGCUCUUAUUUGUAAAAAAAAUAAAAAAAAUAAAAUAAUAUAAAUAAAUAACUUGUAACUAAAUGUGUACUGUGCUAGACUAAAGCCCCUUUCACACUGCACGGUGGUCCCAAAAAAUUGCUGGAAAAUUGCCAAAGUGCCUUCUGUGUGAACGCAAACACGUCCCGGGAUUGAUUCCGGGACUGAUCCUGGUUUGGGGACCUAGGAACAUUGCUGGGUUCAGUCCCGGAACGAGCUCUGUGUGAACAAAAGCCAGAACCAAUGGCGUAAAGGGUGUGUCGUAGUGAUGACGCACGUUAUCAUGCGACUCUUUUACCGGGUGUUUUGACGGCAGAUCAACAUUCGUGACGAAAAAAUAUGUGCAAACUGUAAUGAAGCAGAGAUCAGUUAGUUCCUCACUAUCCGUGCUAAAGCUGAGAUCGUUCGCCAGCUUAAGUGAAACAAAACACGUCGCAUCGUAAUGUCAUGUGUCUUUACGGGAUCUUUAUGGGUUGUGUGUGACACACAGAUUCCAGAAAAUCACUGCCAGUGUAAAUGAACCACAAUCAAAGGAUCCUGGAACACAUUAUCCGUGUAUUUUCCGGAAUUUCUGUGUGGAAGAUGCUUUAUACAUAAACAACAAUGUCCCUAGUAGCUGAUCAGCUGCCAUGUUUAUAAAGCAUUGAAAACACUUCUGCUUUGCUUCUUCUCCUUCUUCCGUUUAUUGGCGGCCUAGCAUUUUUAACUCAUACAUUACACAUCACAUCCUGAUGUCUCGUGUCAUUACGGGACCUUUAUGGGUUGUGUGUGAACGCUAUCACUGGCAGUGUGAAUGAACCAAAAUCUAACAAUCCGGGAACAAUUGCCGGGACACAUUACCCGUGUUUUAUCCGGAAUCUCAGUGUGAAAGAGGCUAAACUGAGCACUUUUAUACUGUUGUUCUCUUAUUUGUAGAAUAGGAUUUGUGCACCUCAGAAUUCGAAAUGGUGUAACUGUUGUGUUGUGUUUGCUGGAGAGAAUUAAUAAAAAAUAAAAAAUAAAAAUAAAAAUAUUGCUAGUACUAAAAAAAAUUAUCUGUAACUUUAAAUUUACCAAUAUGCAUGUGUGACUAUUCAUUACAACUAUUCCACUGUCACAGAACAUGGUAGUAAGUCAGUUAUCCAUGCAAAAGCAGAGAGGUCAGUGUGGUGUACUGUAGGUACAGCUGUCCAGACCAACAUCUGAUGUUCUG
Molecule: long non-coding RNA, 2522 nt
Organism: Cyprinus carpio carpio
Lineage: Eukaryota; Metazoa; Chordata; Actinopteri; Cypriniformes; Cyprinidae
Source: Ensembl